UACGAAGGGGGCUAGCGUUGUUCGGAAUUACUGGGCGUAAAGCGUGCGCAGGCGGCUUCUCAAGUCAGGGGUGAAAGCCCAGAGCUCAACUCUGGAAUUGCCUUUGAGACUGAGUGGCUUGAGUACGAGAGAGGUGAGUGGAAUUCCCAGUGUAGAGGUGAAAUUCGUAGAUAUUCGGAAGAACACCAGUGGCGAAGGCGACUCGCUGGACAAGUAUUGACGCUGAGGUGCGAAAGCGUGGGGAGCAAACAGG
Molecule: ribosomal RNA, 253 nt
Filed under: uncultured bacterium
Lineage: Bacteria
Description: partial 16S ribosomal RNA
Rfam family: Bacterial small subunit ribosomal RNA
Source: RNAcentral